AGUGGCGGACGGGUGAGUAACGCGUGAGAAUCUGCCUUGGGGUCGGGGACAACCACUGGAAACGGUGGCUAAUACCGGAUAAGCCGAUUGGUGAAAGAUUUAUUGCCCGAAGAGGAGCUCGCGUCUGAUUAGCUAGUUGGUGAGGUAAGAGCUCACCAAGGCAGCGAUCAGUAGCUGGUCUGAGAGGACGAUCAGCCACACUGGGACUGAGACACGGCCCAGACUCCUACGGGAGGCAGCAGUGGGGAAUUUUCCGCAAUGGGCGAAAGCCUGACGGAGCAAGACCGCGUGAGGGAGGAAGGCUCUUGGGUUGUAAACCUCUUUUCUCAGGGAAGAAGCUCUGACGGUACCUGAGGAAUCAGCCUCGGCUAACUCCGUGCCAACAGCCGCGGUAAUACGGAGGAGGCAAGCGUUAUCCGGAAUUAUUGGGCGUAAAGCGUCCGCAGGUGGCGAUUCAAGUCUGCUGUCAAAGCACGGGGCUUAACUCCGUAAAGGCAGUGGAAACUGAAUAGCUAGAGUGCCGUAGGGGUAGAGGGAAUUCCCGGUGUAGCGGUGAAAUGCGUAGAGAUCGGGAAGAACAUCGGUGGCGAAAGCGCUCUACUGGACGGCAACUGACACUCAGGGACGAAAGCUAGGGGAGCGAAUGGGAUUAGAUACCCC
This 660-nucleotide ribosomal RNA is filed under the name uncultured bacterium. RNAcentral describes it as "bacterial SSU rRNA". It matches the Rfam family "Bacterial small subunit ribosomal RNA", at positions 94 to 788 of the family's 1533-position model. The record is from RNAcentral.